GCAGAGGUGGUUCAGUGGUAGAACUCUCGCCUUCCACGUGGGAGAUCCAGGUUCGAUUCUGGCCAGUGCA
Molecule: transfer RNA, 70 nt
Filed under: Loxodonta africana (African savanna elephant)
Lineage: Eukaryota; Metazoa; Chordata; Mammalia; Proboscidea; Elephantidae
Rfam family: tRNA
About the family: Transfer RNA (tRNA) molecules are approximately 80 nucleotides in length.
Source: Rfam by way of RNAcentral